This 1541-nucleotide long non-coding RNA is filed under the name Chrysemys picta bellii (western painted turtle). RNAcentral's name for it is "lncRNA (ENSCPBG00000017421.1)". The record is from RNAcentral. Lineage: Eukaryota; Metazoa; Chordata; Testudines; Emydidae.
AGGGAUUUUGUGAAAAGGCUUCUCCUGGGGGAGAAUUGUAGGAAAGCAGAACAUAAUUACCCAAAAUUCCAAUUUGAGUAAUUACCUUCUGCCUACCUAACAUUCCCUGGAUGCUGUCAGUUGGCUGCAGUGCUCUUCGCUUCCUCCUCUUUUAAAGAAAAAAGCCUGUUGUACAGCGUUGUUGUGCUUCGUUUAACCAGUUGCCGCAAUCCACCCCAGAGAUGGCUGCAUUUCAGUAGCGGGCUAUGCAGAGCUUGUCAAAAGAGCUUCAGGGUCUAGAGUGACCAGACAGUAAAUGUGAAAAAUCGGGAUGGGGGUGGGGGGAUAAUAGGAGCCUAUAUAAGAAAAAGACCCCAAAAUCGGGACUGUCCCUAUAAAAUUGGGACAUCUGGUGACCCUAUCAGGGUCCAUUGUUACAACAACACGCUGCCAAUACAGUAAAAAAUCAUGCUGAUUGCAUCCCAAGGGCAUCGACAACACUGGGAUCUUGCUGCUUCUCAGCUAAGUUUCCUUAGCAGUGGAUUGUCACAACCGUGGAGAAAGUAUCAGGACUCCUAGGCAGGUGUCCGUGUUCACACAAGGAGAGAGAGACCCGGAUCUAAGCUCUGGAUCCAAACAUUCCCAGCACUUGGGAACAUUUAGUGUGGCAUCAAGAUCUGGAUGCAAGUUUUGUGGUUCAGUCACCUCAUAGUUCCCGAGAACUACCAGGCCCAUGCAGACUGGCAGGGAGGCAGGCAUAAUAUUCCAUAGCUGAGGUCAUCCGUCUGGAAGAAGAGUGGUCCUCGCAAGGAAUGCUGGUGCUAUCUAGAGGUAGCGUGGUCCAAUGGGUAGGGCACUUGCCUGGGAGGCAGGAGAUCCAGUUCUGUUCUCAGCCCUGCUCCAGAGCUGCUGGGUGACCUUCUCCAGUGCUUUGUCUGGCUUGUCUAGACAGACUGUAAGCUCUUUGUCUGGAGAGCACACAACACAAUGUGGCCCUGAUCUUGGUGUUACUGAAAUACAAAAGGAGCAGUUUGGAUAUUGGGGACUGUGCCUUUAAGGGCUGAACUGGGUGGGCAGGACUCUUGCCAACACCUUAAGCACCCAGCCCUCACAGAUGCCCACAAAAUGAGCAGAGGGGGUUGUAAUGGACGAGGCAGAACUCGGCGGCAGGAAGCAGAGUGGAGUGAAGUUCUCCUACCUCAUUUCAUUCCCUCCCUCCUUUCACUGCUCCGUGGCCCAGUUUGCAGAGAGGAGGGUCAGGAAUCCAUCGCUCUCCGGGUCCCCCUCCCUAGCUGCUGAGAUAAUCGAGGGUUUUACUGCAGUAGACCGUGGCCAGCUUUUCUAAACAUCAUCUCCUAAUGCUUCCCCAAAGAGCUAGCGAGGCUGCCCUGCACAUUAGUAAUCAAUGCACAUAGCAAACGGCUUGCUCUCGCUUCCUCCACCUCUCCUGCUCUCCCUCCCUACCAGCCCUGCCUUUCCAGAGCAAGGACAGGGUUGCCUGGUAUGCAGAGAAGAGUUAUUUGUGCUAAUAAAGCAGCAGAGGGUUUUUCUCUCUGCUUGCA